This 547-nucleotide ribosomal RNA is filed under the name uncultured bacterium. RNAcentral describes it as "bacterial SSU rRNA". It matches the Rfam family "Bacterial small subunit ribosomal RNA", at positions 355 to 896 of the family's 1533-position model. The record is from RNAcentral.
UGGGGAAUAUUGCGCAAUGGGGGGAACUCUGACGCAGCCAUGCCGCGUGAAUGAAGAAGGCCUUCGGGUUGUAAAGUUCUUUCGGUAUUGAGGAAGGUUGAUGUGUUAAUAGCACAUCAAAUUGACGUUAAAUACAGAAGAAGCACCGGCUAACUCCGUGCCAGCAGCCGCGGUAAUACGGAGGGUGCGAGCGUUAAUCGGAAUAACUGGGCGUAAAGGGCACGCAGGCGGUUAUUUAAGUGAGGUGUGAAAGCCCCGGGCUUAACCUGGGAAUUGCAUUUCAGACUGGGUAACUAGAGUACUUUAGGGAGGGGUAGAAUUCCACGUGUAGCGGUGAAAUGCGUAGAGAUGUGGAGGAAUACCGAAGGCGAAGGCAGCCCCUUGGGAAUGUACUGACGCUCAUGUGCGAAAGCGUGGGGAGCAAACAGGAUUAGAUACCCUGGUAGUCCACGCUGUAAACGCUGUCGAUUUGGGGGUUGGGGUUUAACUCUGGCGCCCGUAGCUAACGUGAUAAAUCGACCGCCUGGGGAGUACGGCCGCAAGGUUA